UUAAAAGUCCCCCUUCCCCCACCCCCAGUCAUCAGAGUUGGGAUCUCUGCCCAGCUCUUCCCUUUUCCCCUUGGACCUUUCCAGCCCUGUGGUUUUUGAAAACAAUUUGGACCCUUCCAGAGCUUGGGAGAGGAGGCCUGGGCCCUGCUCUGGCCCUCUCAGUGGUGAUGAAGAAGUGGAAGCACCAAGUAUAGAAGUGGCUUGCUGGAUUUAUUCAUCUUUGGGCCAACUAAGAUAUCCACUGGCAGCUUUUGACCCUCUGUUCAGUCAGAGUCUUGAUUUGUAGCCCAGACUGGACUGGAAUUUGCAACCUUCCUGACUCAGCCUCCUGAGUGCUGGGAUUACAGACCCCAGGCCAGGCUCUGGGCUACAGCUGGAGCAAGGACGAGACUUUGGCUUCAAGAAAUCCCUGGAACAAUAACUUGCAGCUGAGCAGCACAAUUGUUUAUGGUUUGUGGUCUGUGAGGCCCUUUUCCAUAUCCUGUCCCGUGAUCCUGGUGUCGGACGGGCCGAGGACGAGACACUCAGAAACAGACUCUGAGGACAUCCAGGAGGAUGAAGACCCCUGGGUGAGGCCCAUGGGCAUCAGUAUCUGGACUCCUUCCCAGUGCUCCUUCCCAAGGGCCACACUACCCAGCAUGCACUGGGUGCUGACCUCAGAACACCACAUGGGGCUCCUUCUUCUGUCUGGCUCAGAGUUUGGGAGGUCCUGCUGUGGCCCCAGUGCCACUGGGAUGUCCUCCUUGUCACUGUCACUUGGGGCCCUGGGAGCUGGAGGUGCCUGAACUGUGUCCACUGCCUCCACCACAGGGCCGAUAAAGAGUGACCACAAUCCUUUUGGGCCACUUUCUUGGUCAAAAAAGGAAUGUGGUCUUGGGUGAAAGGGGACGAUAUGGAGAGAACACCACUGAGGGACUUGGUCACUGUGGGGGAGGGGGAGUCCCACCAUCAGGUGCCUGGGUCUGUGAGGCUCCCUCUCCAGCCAUGCUUUGCUCUGGUGCAGCCUCCUCCUGAUUCAGAGGCCCUGGCUUAGCAUAGCCGCACCCACCACCUGCUCCUGAGGCUGCAGCUGGUACUUGUUUUGCAUAUGGGGAGUCUCACUUGGUUUCAAGGGCGGCAGACCUGGAUGAUGGGUUUAUUUGGAUUGCAAUCCCAGGCAGCUUAGGUAAAGGAGUGAGCUGGGGACACAGGGAAGGGAAGCACGUGCCAUCCAGCAAAUUCCUGCUGCUGGCAACUGGAGUUUGGCCUUGCUGGGGAGUCCUAAAAGCCAGUGGAGAGCAGCGGGUCUCAGUUGUCUACCCACAGGCAAGGGAGGAGGGCACUGAAGGACCGACUCCCAUCAGAUAGCUCAGUCCUGGCAGCAGUGUCUACCCAGGAAAUGUCCCAGGUGCUGGCAGUAGGAAGCCCAACUGGGUCUCAUCAUUAGCAUCCUAAAGGGUUGCACUGUUAAACACUUGAAAACUUAUGACAUAAGCCAAAGCCCCAUUUCACAGAUGGGCUGAUAGUCUUAGAGAUGAGAAGGGGUUUGCCUCAGUUUAACCUGAAAAUUAAGAAAAGAAUCAGGAUGGGAAUCCAGAAUCUACAUCUCCAGACUGUCAGUCCAGCAACUUAAAAGAAAAAGCAAAAUUUAAAAAUUUUGAUUUAAUCAUAGACACAGGAAGCAGCAAAGAAAAACGUAUGGGGCGACACUUCCAGGCAUCCUUCACACAGCCUCCCCUAGUGUUAACGUCUUGUGCAACCAUAGUGAGAUGCCAAACUGGGAAACUUACAGUACAAUCCACAGAGCUUCUCUAGAUUUUACCAAACAUCCACUUGUCUGUGUGUGCAUGUGUGUGUGUGUAGUUCUAAGCAAUUUUAUCACUUAUGCCACUUUAUGUAUGCAUAGUCACAACCAAGAUAACCAACUGCACCAUCUCCCAAGGCUCUUGUUCAUAGCCACCUCCUAACCCCCAUUCCUAACACCUCCACUUCUCUAUUCUCCAUCUCUAUAAUAAUGUUAUUUCUUGAGUGUUAUGUGAAUGGAGUCAUGUAGUAUGUGUCCUCUUAAGAUUGGCUUGUUUUACUCAGUAUACUUUUUUUUUAGUUCAUCCAAGCUGUGUGCAUGCAUAGUUCAUUUCCUUU
Long non-coding RNA from Heterocephalus glaber (naked mole-rat), 2121 nucleotides. The record is from Ensembl. NCBI's taxonomy places the organism in Eukaryota, Metazoa, Chordata, Mammalia, Rodentia, Bathyergidae.